RNAcentral lists this ribosomal RNA (433 nucleotides) under uncultured bacterium. RNAcentral's name for it is "partial 16S ribosomal RNA". It matches the Rfam family "Bacterial small subunit ribosomal RNA", at positions 29 to 507 of the family's 1533-position model. The record is from RNAcentral.
AACGAACGCUGGCGGCAUGCCUAACACAUGCAAGUCGAACGAUGCCUUCGGGCAUAGUGGCGCACGGGGGAGUAACGCGUGGGAACCUGCCCGGUGGUACGGAAUAACUCCGGGAAACUGGAGCUAAUACCGUAUGUGUCCCCUGGGACAAAGAUUUAUCGCCACGGGAUGGGCGCGCGUAGGAUUAGCUUGUUGGUGGGGUAACGGCCUACCAAGGCUACGAUCCUUAGCUGGUCUGAGAGGAUGAUCCGCCACACUGGGACUGAGACACGGCCCAGACUCCGACGGGAGGCAGCAGUGGGGAAUAUUGGACAAUGGGCGCAAGCCUGAUCCCGCAAUGCCGCGUGAGUGAUGAAGGCCUUCGGGUUGUACAGCUCUUUCGCACGCGACGAUGAUGACGGUAGCGUGAGAAGAAGCCCCGGCUAACUUCGUG